AUUCUGUUUCAGGGCGGGGUGGAAGUCCCCACUGGCGGUAAACCUGCAUGGCAAGUCCGCGACCCCGAGGCUGCGGCUUCGGGCUGACUUGGGUUAGAUUCCCAGACCAACGGUACAGUCCGGAUGGAAGAAGCAGAAG
Molecule: non-coding RNA, 139 nt
Filed under: Slackia heliotrinireducens
Lineage: Bacteria; Bacillati; Actinomycetota; Coriobacteriia; Eggerthellales; Eggerthellaceae
Also listed under: 1 other name
Description: FMN sequence
Rfam family: FMN riboswitch aptamer (RFN element)
About the family: The RFN element is a highly conserved domain that is found frequently in the 5'-untranslated regions of prokaryotic mRNAs that encode for flavin mononucleotide (FMN) biosynthesis and transport proteins. This element is a metabolite-dependent riboswitch that directly binds FMN in the absence of proteins.
Source: RNAcentral